GAGUCACUCCCGCAGGGGUGGCGCACGNNUNNGUAACACGUAGUCAACCUACCCUAGGGACGGGGAUAACCUCGGGAAACUGAGGCUAAACCCCGAUAGGCUAUAACUUCUGGAAUGGGUUAUAGCUGAAAUCUAUAUGGCCCUAGGAUGGGACUGCGGCCGAUCAGGUUGUUGGUGGGGUAAUGGCCCACCAAGCCUAUAACCGGUGCGGGCUCUGAGAGGAGGAGCCCGGAGAUGGGCACUGAGACAAGGGCCCAGGUCCUAUGGGGCGCAGCAGGCGCGAAACCUCCGCAAUGGGCGAAAGCCCGACGGGGUUAGUCCGAGUGACUCUUGCUGAAGGAGUCUUUUGCCAGCUGUAAAAAAGCUGGAGAAUAAGGGGUGGGCAAGUUUGGUGUCAGCCGCCGCGGUAAUACCAGCACCCCGAGUGGUCGGGACGAUUAUUGGGCCUAAAGCAUCCGUAGCCGGUCUAACAAGUCCUCCGUUAAAUCCAACGGCUCAACCGUUGGGCUGCGAGGGAUACUGUUAGACUAGGGGGCGGGAGAGGCGAAGGGUAUUCCCAGGGUAGGGGUAAAAUCCACUGAUCCNNGGAGGACCACCAGUGGCGAAGGCGUCUCGCUAGAACGCNNNNGACGGUGAGGGAUGAAAGCUAGGNNAGCGAACCGGAUUAGAUACCCGGGUAGUCNU
This 684-nucleotide ribosomal RNA is filed under the name uncultured crenarchaeote. RNAcentral's name for it is "bacterial SSU rRNA". It matches the Rfam family "Archaeal small subunit ribosomal RNA", at positions 55 to 748 of the family's 1478-position model. The record is from RNAcentral. Lineage: Archaea; Thermoproteati; Thermoproteota.